GACGAACGCUGGCGGCAUGCUUAACACAUGCAAGUCGAACGGAAAGGCCCUGCUUUUGUGGGGUGCUCGAGUGGCGAACGGGUGAGUAACACGUGAGUAACCUGCCCUUGACUUUGGGAUAACUUCAGGAAACUGGGGCUAAUACCGGAUAGGAGCUCCUGCUGCAUGGUGGGGGUUGGAAAGUUUCGGCGGUUGGGGAUGGACUCGCGGCUUAUCAGCUUGUUGGUGGGGUAGUGGCUUACCAAGGCUUUGACGGGUAGCCGGCCUGAGAGGGUGACCGGCCACAUUGGGACUGAGAUACGGCCCAGACUCCUACGGGAGGCAGCAGUGGGGAAUAUUGCACAAUGGGCGGAAGCCUGAUGCAGCAACGCCGCGUGCGGGAUGAUGGCCUUCGGGUUGUAAACCGCUUUCGCCUGUGACGAAGCGUGAGUGACGGUAAUGGGUAAAGAAGCACCGGCUAACUACGUG
RNAcentral lists this ribosomal RNA (468 nucleotides) under uncultured bacterium. Its description in RNAcentral is "partial 16S ribosomal RNA". It matches the Rfam family "Bacterial small subunit ribosomal RNA", at positions 28 to 507 of the family's 1533-position model. The record is from RNAcentral.